RNAcentral lists this long non-coding RNA (467 nucleotides) under Mus spicilegus (steppe mouse). RNAcentral's name for it is "lncRNA (ENSMSIG00000005257.1)". Lineage: Eukaryota; Metazoa; Chordata; Mammalia; Rodentia; Muridae. The record is from RNAcentral.
GGCCUCCAGCGAGCUCCGCGCGUCCGAGAAGGAGCUAAGGGCUCCCUGGUUCAAAGGGCCGCAGCCCCGAGGGAAUGCCCUCUUCGUGUGCCCCGGGGUGCAGAAGCAGACGGCAGGGCGGUGGGACCAGCCUGGGCCACGAAAGAAAAUGAACAGUGUGGGGUGUGAGGCAAAGGCACUGGAAGCUAUGCCUCUGAAAAACAGUCGUCCUGCGGAGAAAGGUCACCUACAGACAGUUGAAGGAAGAAAUGUCAUGCAAACUUGACAUCAUGGAAGAAACAUGGCAUGUGGAUUAUUAAAGAGCAACUGGCUGACUUUUAACCCUGGGUGCAUUGCUCAGACCCCAUUACCUGUGCAUUUAUACCGGGAAGAAUUACAGGGUAUAUGAGCCACAAAGAGGAGAUGACAAAGCAGAGGUAAGAGGUUGUAAAAAUAUCAGGGAAAGCAGGAUGUAGAUCUCACCAUUU